CAAAAUGAAAAAGAAAAUUGCAGAUGCAAAAACUAAACAACAAAUCGAUGAUGUUUACCUCCGCGGCAGAAAUGAAGCCAUUUUGGUCCUUAUCAAAGACCUUGAAAGCUUCUCUGAGUUCCUCCUCAGAAUCACUUGCCUUCAUUUUUCGUGCCAUCAAAUUCAAAAACUCAGAAAAAUCUAUAGUGCCAUUUUGAUCAGCAUCAACUUCAUUGAUCAUGUCCUGCAAUUCAGCUUCAGUUGGAUUCUGUCCCAGUGAUCUCAUCACUGUCCCCAAUUCUUUGGUUGUAAUGCAGCC
Molecule: long non-coding RNA, 298 nt
Organism: Ziziphus jujuba (common jujube)
Lineage: Eukaryota; Viridiplantae; Streptophyta; Magnoliopsida; Rosales; Rhamnaceae
Exons: 2
Source: RefSeq, a predicted model, not a curated record